This 64-nucleotide transfer RNA is filed under the name Phytophthora infestans (potato late blight agent). Its description in RNAcentral is "tRNA-Trp". It matches the Rfam family "tRNA". Rfam says of the family: Transfer RNA (tRNA) molecules are approximately 80 nucleotides in length. Their secondary structure includes four short double-helical elements and three loops (D, anti-codon, and T loops). Further hydrogen bonds mediate the characteristic L-shaped molecular structure. tRNAs have two regions of fundamental functional importance: the anti-codon, which is responsible for specific mRNA codon recognition, and the 3' end, to which the tRNAs corresponding amino acid is attached (by aminoacyl-tRNA synthetases). tRNAs cope with the degeneracy of the genetic code in two manners: having more than one tRNA (with a specific anti-codon) for a particular amino acid; and 'wobble' base-pairing, i.e. permitting non-standard base-pairing at the 3rd anti-codon position. The record is from RNAcentral. Lineage: Eukaryota; Oomycota; Peronosporomycetes; Peronosporales; Peronosporaceae.
GGGGGAAUAGCUCAGUGGUAGAGCGCUGGAUUCCAGUCCCAGCGGACGAUCCCCUCUUCCCUCA